This 253-nucleotide ribosomal RNA is filed under the name uncultured bacterium. RNAcentral's name for it is "partial 16S ribosomal RNA". It matches the Rfam family "Bacterial small subunit ribosomal RNA", at positions 524 to 776 of the family's 1533-position model. The record is from RNAcentral.
UACGUAGGGUGCGAGCGUUAAUCGGAAUUACUGGGCGUAAAGCGUGCGCAGGCGGUUUUGUAAGCCAGGUGUGAAAUCCCCGGGCUCAACCUGGGAAUGGCAUUUGGGACUGCACGGCUGGAGUGCGGCAGAGGAGACUGGAAUUCCUGGUGUAGCAGUGAAAUGCGUAGAUAUCAGGAGGAACACCGAUGGCGAAGGCAGGUCUCUGGGCUGACACUGACGCUCAUGCACGAAAGCGUGGGGAGCAAACAGG